This 723-nucleotide long non-coding RNA is filed under the name Pollicipes pollicipes. Its description in RNAcentral is "uncharacterized LOC119093180". Lineage: Eukaryota; Metazoa; Arthropoda; Thecostraca; Pollicipedomorpha; Pollicipedidae. The record is from RNAcentral.
GACUGGUCGCCGCCGGCGCGCCGGCUCUCGCGCUCCUCGCUCAGCCCGGAUCGGCUGAGCGACGGCCGCGACCCGUCGCCGGAGCGGCGCCGGCCGCCGCUGCCGCGCUACGUGGGCGGCCACGACGAGUACAGAGGCCCCAAGACCUCGUCUCCGCUGGUACAGGACGACUACAGCCGCUCUCACGACAAGAGGAAGCCGCCUUACGAGCGCAUCUAGCGGCCAGUGCGUCGGCCUGGCCGCGGCGCGCGUGCUGCCCUCUCUCAUGACCCCGUGGGCUUCUCGGCGGGCUUGUGCUGUAGGCCCGGGCGCGGUCCACGGGCGCGCUGCGUCGGAGACCCCAGAAGGGGCUCAGUAGGCUCCCCGUUCAGAGCCGGGGGCUGACGGGCGUCAGCGGCCAGCCGCAUGUUCAGGGCGCGCCUCGUCGGGGCGCGGUGCGCCGGGCUCCCCGGCCGUGCCGGUCUCCGUUUGCCACCUUGCCGCGCGGGUAUAGCUGUUGUGGAUUUCAGUGAGUUUGUAUAUAGCCUCUAUUUAAAUACAUUCCGCGCGUUGCAGGUGGGCUGUGACUCGCGCUGCCCCCUCCCCCCUUCGAUCAGCUGGCGCCCUCCCCCUCCCCCGACUGCCCACGUGAUAUAUACUGUACGUGCGAUAUAAAUAUGAUCAACUUUCGUGGCGCGUUAUCUGUGAAAAUACCAAGCGAUAAUACAAGGUUUGGGAAACUGG